AGGGUGUAAACGCUGCAGACUUGGUGUUGGAGGCCCUUUGGGGGCAUUCAGUGCCGGAGAGAAGUUGUUAAGUCUGCUACUUGGGGAGUACGUCCGCAAGGAUGAAACUUAAAGGAAUUGGCGGGGGAGCACCGCAACGGGAGGAGCGUGCGGUUUAAUUGGAUUCAACUCCGUAAACUCACCAGGGAAGACUGUUACAUGAAGGCCGAGAUGAAGACUCUGCUAGAUUUUCAGAGAGGAGGUGCAUGGCGUCAGUGACU
This 260-nucleotide ribosomal RNA is filed under the name uncultured archaeon. Its description in RNAcentral is "partial 16S ribosomal RNA". It matches the Rfam family "Archaeal small subunit ribosomal RNA", at positions 748 to 1008 of the family's 1478-position model. The record is from RNAcentral.